GAGGUUGCGAUGAUUAUAAAACAAUUCCUCAUUCUGGAUGUUGUUGCCACGACAUGAUAGACCCUUUUACAACCACAGAUUAUGAGCACC
This is a small nucleolar RNA of Lycium barbarum (goji berry), 90 nucleotides long. RefSeq annotates it as small nucleolar RNA snoR8a. The transcript has a single exon. The record is from RefSeq and is a predicted model, not a curated record. NCBI's taxonomy places the organism in Eukaryota, Viridiplantae, Streptophyta, Magnoliopsida, Solanales, Solanaceae.